AGAAGACUUCAUCUGGCCAAAAGACGAUCUCGGUGUAAUCGGUAUGAAGCUGACGCUGCUGUUUGCACUGCUGGUCGCUGUCCUAGCGGUAAGCUGGGCCGAAGAGUCUGUGCCUGUUGAAGCUGAUGCCGAUGUGGCUGUUUCUGUCGCCGAGGAUCUGCAGGAAGCUGACCUGGCCAGCGAUGAGUCGCGCUUCUACGGACACUACUGGCGUCCGCGCUACCACAGGCGCCGCUACUGGAGGCCUCGUUUCUUCAGGAAGCCA
Molecule: long non-coding RNA, 265 nt
Organism: Pollicipes pollicipes
Lineage: Eukaryota; Metazoa; Arthropoda; Thecostraca; Pollicipedomorpha; Pollicipedidae
Exons: 3
Source: RefSeq, a predicted model, not a curated record